CCCAAAAAGACUGGCGACCGGCGCACGGGUGAGUAACACGUAUCCAACCUGCCGAUAACUCGGGGAUAGCCUUUCGAAAGAAAGAUUAAUACCCGAUGGUAUAAUCAGACCGCAUGGUUUGAUUAUUAAAGAAUUUCGGUUAUCGAUGGGGAUGCGUUCCAUUAGGCAGUUGGUGAGGUAACGGCUCACCAAACCUUCGAUGGAUAGGGGUUCUGAGAGGAAGGUCCCCCACAUUGGAACUGAGACACGGUCCAA
This 255-nucleotide ribosomal RNA is filed under the name uncultured bacterium. Its description in RNAcentral is "partial 16S ribosomal RNA". It matches the Rfam family "Bacterial small subunit ribosomal RNA", at positions 78 to 334 of the family's 1533-position model. The record is from RNAcentral.